UAUAUAUAUAUAUAUAUAUUAUUUUUGUUUAAAAUGUCAAAAAUUAUAUUUAUGUAGUUAAUAUUAAAAAAAAACCAACUGGGAUCCUCUUUUUCUUUCUCCUGGAGCCUAAUCUGCGCCCCAACCCCAUAUUCUUUUCAGCGAUCCCCAAAUCUUUUUAGCCUCCCCUUCUUCUUCUUGCUCCCUUCUGAUUCUUCUUCUUAUUUUCUUCUGAUCCUUCUUCUACAUCUGCCAAUUGUUUUUUCUUUCUCAUGAAGGCCGCACCGCACCGCACCCCAUUCCCCAAUUCUUUUCAGCUUCUCCAUCUUCUUUUUUUUUUCCAUCUUUUUCUUCUUUCCUUCUGAUUUUUCUCCUCCUGAUUUUUCUUCUCCUUUGAUAUUGGCCAUUGCCCACAGAGACACACAGAAGCAGAGAAAGAGGUGGAAGGGAGACGAGAUAAGGGUAUUUUGGGUAGAAAAAUGGGAUUCCAGAUAGAGCAUUUCAUCCGGAAUUCAAAUCCCACCUAUUAUUUGGGAGACCGGUUCCGGAUAAAUGGAGAGUCUGAUUCCCCAUAUUAGAUGGGUCCCACAUACACUUCAUUCCCUCAAAUGUUGGUAAACACUUGAAUAACCGGAAAGGAGUGCAAUUCUCAUUCCUCUUGUCUCACUCUCCUUACGUAAAUGCACCGUAAAUUGAUAUUGCAUUUGAAACACCUCAACUCUAUUUUAUUUAAAAAUUGUUUUAAAACCUUAAUUGGUGAGCCCGUGGGACCCACCUUGUUUUAUUUUUAUGUUUUCUAGUCUCUCCUCUCUCAGUUCUCUCUUCUCCCUCACCUCUUCUGCAACUCUCUCCCAUAUCUCUCUCGGACCUCAUCUCUCUCCCUUGCUGCAACUCCUUUUCUCUGAGCAGCACUCAACCACGCCAUCUGCUGAGGACAUCAUCAUCAAAACCUCUGCAGUUUUCUCUCUCCCGUUGUAGAAAGGACGACGAAAUCCCAGGAGCAUCCGGCGAGCACCGCCCCUUUCGAGGAAAUUUCCGGCCAAACCACGGUGCAUUAGCCAGCGUGCAAGGUAUCAAUCUCUUCGUCUCGUCGAGUAGUAUAACUUUUCUUUUUGUUUCACUCUAUUUCGUUGAGUAUUGAAGAAGUUAUACUCAUUUGAAUCUUACCCAGUUUCCGGCGACCUCCGAGGCUUUCGAGGAAUUUUCCGGCCAAACCACGGCAAGUUAGACGUCGUGUGAUGUACCAUUCUCUUCGUCUCUUCAAGGGCUACAACUUUCGUUUUUGAAUCGCUUGAUUUCGUUGAGUAGUAACAAAGUUAUGGCUGUUUAAAGAUUGUGCAUUUUCUGGCCGAAUUUCCGACCUUCUUCUUCCUUUGAAUCCGGUAGCCCAGAAAAACCAAGCCCUUUAGGCCUUCCUUGCCGAGCCCAACCCUUUCGGUUGUGAGGCCUUUGGGCCUUUGUGUGUGUGUGUGUGUUUUGUGAGGGCUUGCCUUGUGCAGCCCGCGUGUGUGUAUGUAUAUUCAGUAUGUGUGUGUGUGUAUGAGUGCAUGUGUGUGGGGUGUGUGUGUUUAUGCAUGUCGUGCAUGCAUGUGCAUGUUGUGCAUGUGUGUAUGUUUGUGUAGUGUGUGUGUUGUAUGCAUGUGCCGUGUGUGUGUGUGUGAUUUGUGUGGGUUUGGGCUCAAGCCCAAUCCAUCUCUUUUGCUCCUAAACUAUCCAAAACCCAAAAACCUUAGGACCCUAAACCCAAAACCCAAUAGGUCCUAACCCUAUUUAACCUAAAUCUAAACCCUAAUCCGGAUUCAAGCCUAAAACCCGUUAGACCUAAUUUGACCGUUGACCCCCGGUCAACGUUGACUUUAGGGUUGACUUUUUGGGUUUUCGUCUGGAACCUUUCUUAGGGUAAUUCGACAUUCUGAACCCAUUUCCAAUGUCCGUUUUCCCAAAUUCAAUUGCUAUUAUAUAGUUUUAUUAAUUGUACCAUUUAAUGUGCUUAGGGGCAAUUAUUGUGACGUUUCCGUCUUCGCUAAUGGCACAGCUUUUGGCAACUAAGUACUGUGAGUGGACCACUUCUAAAAUUAUAUGAUUUUAUAGUUUAAUUGCAUAAAUGAUUAGCAUGCCUACGAAUUUAUGAUUUGAUUUAUGUUCAGCCUGUUUACUGUAUAUUUUGAUUUUCGUCUUGUGUUUUUGGUGAGGAAUUCAUUGUUGGCCUAUUUUGAGCUAUAUUUUAAUAUAUCGUAUUUUCUAUAAAAACCAUGAACUGUUAGACUAUCCGAUGAAUGACGAUAAGAUGAUAAAACAUGUUUUCGAAACCCCUCUUUAUAGUAUAGACGAUGGAUGACUUUAUACUAUGAAAUAGUUAUUUAUGAGAGGCGUAACUAUUUGUGCGUACCUAGUAGACACUAUGCCGUCUAGGGCGAGGAUCUGGUGUUGGCAAUUAGGCCGGGAGAAAUAAUCCCUAGCGAAAGGCUGAGGGACACGGUGACAGGCACUGGGCCGGGAGGGAGUUAUCUCUGGCUACGAGCACAGAGACUUAGGUGCAGGCAUUGGGCCGGGAGUUAUAUUUAUUCGAUGAUCUUUCUAACAGCGCACCGCGCUUACGAGACGAUAUAUUAUACGUUUACUGUUUUGAUUUCCGCGAUGUUGUUCUGCGAUAUGACUUUUGAGAUAUUUUUGGCAUACUAGGAUUUUGAUUAAAUCCAUCACUUAUUAUGCUAGUAGUUUUCAUUAUAUAAACUGUGGGGGUUAGUAUCUUGAUAACUGUUUUAUUAUUAUUAUAUAUAUGAACAUAGUCCACUCACCUUUGUUUUGCGCCCCUAUUCAGAACUUAGAAUCAAGGCACCUAAUCCCGGCGGCAAGGCACUUCCGCAGCAGCAUCUCGUCCUUUCGGGGUAGAACCCACUCCUUUGUUCAUUCAAUCUUAUCUUAAUUCUUGUUAGUGACUAGGUUUAGUUGUAUAUUCUGAACACGUUCCUAAUUUAUUAAUUCAUCAUAUUUUAAAUUCAUAACCCUUAUUUAUUUCUUAUUCUUAGCUUUUGUAUCAAUUAAUGGCUUUCGUCACCUUCGGGUGUCGACCAGCACGUAUCGGUCCUGGUAUUCGAGAAAUAUCAAGGUCGGAGCGUGUCAGCAUUUAUAUCAUUAUUUGCAUCUAUAAAUAAACCUAGAAGGUUAACGUUUCCACUAAGAAAAUUCUUAUUUGCUGUUCAUAUAGAAUUUGUUAUUCCAUUCAUCACGAAUCUUAUGACAUGACUCCAUGCAAGAAAAGAUGGGUCGAGGGGUACGUUGAAAGAAUAAAGUUAACUUAAUAGUAACAAAAGUGUAAAAUUUUUAAAAUCAAGGACCAAAAUGUUAGUGACCCUUAACUAGAAGUCUAGAAUGGUGCAAAGUGCAAAUAACAUUUAUCAAAAAGUUGUGACAAAGAAGAGGAAGGGAACAUUUGUCCACAACAACAACAACAACAACAAAGCCUUUUCCCACUAAGUGGGGUCGGCUAUAUGAAUCCUAGAACGCCAUUGCGCUCGGUUUUGUGUCAUGCCCUCCGUUAGAUCCAAGUACUCUAAGUCUUUUCUUAGAGUCUCUUCCAAAGUUUUCCUAGGUCUUCCUCUACCCCUUCGGCCCUGAACCUCUGUCCCGUAGUCACAUCUUCGAACCGGAGCGUCAGUCGGCCUUCUUUGCACAUGUCCAAAUCACCAGAGCCGAUUUUCUCUCAUCUUUCCUACAAUUUCGGCUACUCCUACUUUACCUCGGAUAUCCUCAUUCCCAAUCUUAUCCUUUCUCGUGUGCCCACACAUCCCACGAAGCAUCCUCAUCUCCGCUACACCCAUUUUGUGUACGUGUUGAUGCUUCACCACCCAACAUUCUCUGCCAUACAACAUCGCUGGCCUUAUUGCCGUCCUAUAAAAUUUUUCCUUGAGCUUCAGUGGCCUACGACGGUCACACAACACGCCGGAUGCACUCUUUCCAUCCAGCUCGUAUUCUAUGGUUGAGAUCUCCAUCUAAUUCUCCGUUCUCUUGCAAGAUAGAUCAUAGGUAACGAAAACGGUCGCUUUUUGUGAUCUUCGCUAGAUUGCUCCGGUCAUUAGUGUGGAUAAAGUAUAAUAAAUGGAUAAAGAUAGGAAAGCAAACACAAGAUGUACGUGGUUCACCCAGAUUGGCUACGUCCACGGAAUAGAAGAGUUCUCAUUAAUUGUGAAGGGUUUACACAAGUACAUAGGUUCAAGCUCUCCUUUAGUGAGUACGAGUGAAUGAUUUAGUACAAAUGACAUUAGGAAAUAUUGUGGGAGAAUGAUCUCGUAAUCACGAAAACUUCUAAGUAUCGGAGUGUGGUGUCGUCUUGACUUGCCUUAUCUGUCUCAUAGGUAGAUGUGGCAUCUUCUCUGGAAGUACUCUUCCUCCAUCCAGGGAUGGUAUCUUUAACUGGUGGAGAUGCACAAGGUAAUGUAUCAAUUUCACUUGAAGCUUACUUGUAGUUUCAGGCUUGGUCAAGCGCGAUACAAACCAUGUAGUAGGAGUCCCCCAAGUCGCCGAGCUAGGGGGUCUGCUGAAAGAGGUGACAGACAAGGUAAGCAAUCAGAGCUCCGACUGAUUUGUUCACCUUCUCCCCAUCUUGCAGCAGCAGCAUGAAGGAUAAAGAGAAGAAAAAUGAGAAGAGAUGAUAUGAGAUACUUUUGCUUUUGAAGAAGUAACUUUCCACAGGCUUAUUCUUGAACUGAGCUGGAGGGUUUUCUGGUUUCCUCCAGAGUAUAAGGCCGACUGAAGAAUUUGAGGGUCAAAACAAGUCCAUCAAAUCUAGAGUACGUUCCACCCUGCUGAUAUGGGAUACUUUUGCUUUUGACAGAGUAAUGGAUGUAUCGGCACGUGUGCUGUUACGCUUGUCUCCACAUGCUUCCUUGUAUCCUUCGCACUUGCCCUAUCUGUUCCUCAAGCAGAUGCGGAAUCUUCCCUGGAAACAUAAGAUGAUGAAGAUGAGUACUCGAGGAAGGGAACAUUUGUCCAAAAACAUAAAAAAAACAAAAACCAUAAAAACAAAAAAAGAGAAGAGGAAGGGAACAUUGACCAACGUGAAUAGGGAGAGUAUCCAUGUCGACCCUGAGAGUAAACCAUGGCUGCGACCCCGAACAAUUAGAAGCAGUGACCCAGAGUCAGAAUUUUUAUAAGGAGAAAUCUCUCAUAAUAAUAUAUAUAUUUAUAAAAUUAGUAACCAAAAUAUUUUUUGAACAAACGAUAUUAUUUACAUGAAGGAGGAAGAUGGUUAAGCUUAGUCUCAUAAAGAGCUAACAACAAUAUGAUUCAAAUUUGUCUUUUGCGAAAAUCAAUAACUAGAAUCCCCUACAAAUUUUCUAUAUCAUCUAGAUUAAACGUUUGUGUCUUUUCAAAUUUUGAUUAAAGUGCUUUGACUAAUCGUCAGCAUCUUUUGUUAAGUUAAAUUACAUGUCAUUAUUUUAUUUUUGUAAUUAAAAUAACUUAUAAAUUUAUCCAUUUAGUUGCUUGAUGCGUUUUUCCUUAUUCAGUGGACAUAUUUGUUAUUAACUAUGUUUGUACCAUACAUGACCAAUCCCGAAACUACUGAGCACCAGUCAACAUUAUACCGUCAAGGACCUAGAAGAGUUUCCCUCCAACCAAAAGGCCAAUCACAAUGCGACACGUGUCGACAUCGGAAGCCAAUCACAACGCGACAUGUGUUAACAUCAUAAGCUAAUCACAACACGACACGUGACAAUGUCAGAACAAAGCUAGAAACUCUUCUAUAAAAGGAGAUCAUUCUCCCACAAUAUUUCCUAAUGUCAUUUGUACUAAAUCAUUCACUAGUACUCACUAAAGGAGAGCUUGAACAUAUGUACUUGUGUAAACUCUUCACAAUUAAUGAGAACUCCUCUACUCCGUGGACGUAGCCAAUCUGGAUGAACCAUGUACAUCUUGUGUUUGCUUCCUUGUCCCUAUCCAUUUACAUACUUAUCCACACUAGUGACCGGAGUAAUCUAGCGAAUGUCACAAACUUAACAAUUUCUGUUGUACCAAAGUCCGCACUGAUUUUGUGCAUCAACAAACUAUAUUUUUUAUUCUUCCAAAUACGCUUCUUCGAUCACAUUUUUUAUUUUUUUUUUGCAAACAUUUAAUAUUUUUUUUUUCUCAAAUGGUUUGUUUUUAUUGAUUGUUUUCAAAUAGUUGUGAUCCACCAUAACAAGUUAUGUGUAAUUUUUUUAAUUUUUUUUGUGAAAUUAUUUUUCUUUGAUGUUUUAUUACGUAUAGUUGUUGAUAGAACUAUUAUUAGGUACAUUUUACAUAUAUUAUCGAUGGGUAUGUUUAAAUUUGUAAAAUCGUUGAUUGGUACGUUUAUUUGCAAAUUUUGGUACAGUUGAUUAGGUACAUAUUGUUAAUAUUAGUACAUUAUUUUUCAUUUAGGUACGUUCGAUUUCACACACAUUGUUCAUUGGUAAGUUUAUAUUGUUUUCAGUCCUAUUUUCUUUUAAUUUACUAAAAGAAAAACUUAUUUGGGUACGUUUAGUUUUGUGGGAUUUAAAAAUAAUAUUUUAAAUUGUAGAUAAUCAUUGCUAUAUUGUAGCUAGGGGUUAUUGUGAAAAUAAAUUGAAUCCAACCACAUUUUUUUUACACUUAUCUCGAAAGGGAGGAGGGUAAUCAAAUGGCUAGAUAAUAGGAAAUUUGUUAUGAUGUGUUUUUUUGUUGUUAGAUUUUAGGGAGGUACAUGAAAUAAUUAAUUCUAAUAUAUAAAGCACCGAAAUCAAAUCUCUAAAAAGCAUAAAUGUUUAGUUUAAAAAGAUAAAAGUAAGGUGCCUAUAUCAAAAGAUCUCGUACAUUUCAAAUAAUCAUAUUUAUCCUCGACGAGUUUUCAUAUUUGAAAACAUUGCAUGAUAACCUCGUCAUCUAUUCUAUUCUAUUGAAAGAAUUAUCAUCAUCAAUGUGUAGAAUCGAUAAAAUUUUACAAACCCUAACACUCAAGUAGGAGGUAGAAUAGAGUAAAACGACUCAAAAAUUGUAACAAUAAUAGAGAUUUACAAAUCUUAUUGUUGCAUAUUGAAUGGAUUUGUAAUUUUUUUUCCAAAGGAUUUCUAAUUUUGUUCAAUAAGUUGACUCGAUUUGGAAUUUGGAAUGACAAAAAAUAUAAAAUUUUAAGAAUGAAAUAGUGGAUAGCUCUCGAAUUUCUGGGUUGCACCGUGAAAGAUCAGAGAUAAGAAUGUGAGGCAAGAUUUUUUAUUCUUAUAAAUAAAGGUGAAUGAUGGCAUUAAUUUAAUGGUUGAUUUGUGAUAAAGGACCAUAGCAAGACGUAAUGAUUGGAUUUAUUUAAAGUUUAAAACAAUAAGAGGGUUUUAGAAGAAAAGGAAUAGCUAAGUAUCAUACAUAUAUGUAUAUAGAUAUAGAUAUAUUUUUUCAAAGCUCAGGAUAGGCCCAGGACCGCCACGGUCCCUUGGUGCCUCCGCCAGCGAAUAGAAGCCACCACCCUGGGUCUUGGCCACCGGCCAUGUGUACCCGAUCGCGAGCGAGUCGACUCUUCUGGUCCUCCUCAAAGGCCAAUUCCAGGUUCUCGUGGAUUCUCCUCCUACUAACCCCUCUCAACCAACCAAAGAACUCGGGCACCAAAGCCGAGUCCACCCUCUUUCGAGUGAGUUGACUCACCUCCCACCACGAACCAGCCGUCUUUGAACCCCAUGAGUGGUUUGCUAUCGCGGACAACAAUAACAAAAGCUGAUAAAUUCUUGAGUGUUGAUUUGUAAUUGGUAUGAUGAUUUUCGGGGAUUAACAAGGGACAAGAAUUUGGAAUUUUGUAGGAAAGUACAGUGCUAUCUCUGUCUGGAGCAAGCACAGAUAUUUUCAUUGAAAUAUCUACACAUUGGACUUUUCUCUUACAAGCUACUCUAGAGCAAUAUCAGCCCUUGAUUAACAAACAAUAAUCUAAGCAUACACUUGUUCUAUGAGACUAAGCAUGCACUUAACUGUUGGUUCCUUCCUUCUCAACCAUUCGAUCAAAACCAAAUUCUAUUUAAUUCCAACACUCCCCUUUAAAUGAAUUCUGGUUUUGAUCCCAAGCAUUCCUCUGAGAUAGACAAAUCUUUCCUUUGGUAGAGCUUUGGUGAAGAUGUCUGCCAUUUGAUCCUGUGAUUUGCAGUAGAUCAGUUCAAUUGUAUUCUCCUGCAAAGCUUCCCUUAUAAAGUGAAACUUCCUUUUGAUAUGCUUGGUUUUCUGGUGAAACAUAGGAUUUUUGGUCAUUGCUAUUGCUGAUGUGUUGUCACACAUAAGUGGUGUAGCAUCCACUUGCAUUUCAACAAAAUCCUUUAACACAAACCUCAACCAUAUAGCUUGGGAGGUAACCAUUGCAGCACUCACAUACUCUACCUCAGCCGUAGACAGUGCAACACUUUGUUGCUUGACAGAGGCCCAAGAAAAUAUCCCAAAACCAAAUGUAAAUGCAUAUCUUGAAGUACUUCUCAUGUCAUCUUCACUGCCACCCCAAUCACUGUCACAGAAGCCUACCAGAAUUGCUUCUUCUCCCUUUUCAUAUUUGAUUCCAUAGUCCAAGGUCCCUGAGAUAUACCUAAGUACUAUCUUGGCAGUUCCCAUAUGAAUUCUUAUGGGAUUAUGCAUGAACCUUGAUAAGAGACUGGCUGCAUACAUAAUGUAUGGCCUUGUGGCAGUCAAGUAAAGUAAACUUCCAACCAUUUUUCUGUAUAAUCUUUCAUCAGCAGGUUCAGAACCAUCCAUUUUACAAAGUUUCUCAUUUGUGAUCAAUGGUGUUGCCGCAGAUUUGCAUCCUUCCAGAUUGAAUCUUUCAAGCAAUGAUUGUGCAUACUUUUGUUGAUGUAUGAAAAUCCUCGUAACUUCUUGUAUUACUCCAAUUCCCAAGAAGUGAUGCAACAAGCCAAGAUCCGUCAUCUCAUAUUGUCUCAUCAUGUCCCUUCUGAAUUCUUCAAUUAUUUCUUCACAAUUACCAAUAAAGACCACAUCAUCAACAUAUAUAGAUACAAUAAGCAUCUCAGAGUUCUCACCAGUUUUUGUAUACAAUGUAGCUUCACUAGGACUUUUGUUAAAUCCACUCUUGUUGAAAUAAGAGUCUAUCUCACUGUACCAAGCCCUGGGGGCUUGUUUGAGUCCAUACAGUGCUUUGUUUAACCUAUACACCAUCUCUUCUUCAUUUGGAACUUCAAAUCCCUGUGGUUGAUCCACAUACACUUCUUCCUCCAGAGUGCCAUUUAGAAAAGGCUGAUUUAACAUCUAACUGGUGAAGUUUCCAUCCCUUUUGGGCAACAAGAGCAAUCAAGGUUCUAAUGGUAUCUAACCUAGCCACUGGGGCAAAGGUUUCAUUGAAAUCUACCCCAGGUUGUUAUGAGUAGCCUUUGGCAACCAAUCUUGCUUUGUUCUUCUGUAUUGAUCCAUCCAAAUUCAGUUUGGUCUUGUAGAUCCAUUUCACACCUAUCACAGGUUUAUCACUCAGUCUAUUUACCAAUUUCCAGGUAAAGUUUUUCUCAAUCAUGGCAAUUUCUUCACUCAUUGCUUUCUGCCAAGAUUGAUCAUUCUCAACUUCUUCAAAACUCUCUGGUUCAACAACUACUGCAUAGAUCUCAUCUAAACUCCUCAUUCUCAAUGGAGUUGUUUCUGGGGAAGAAUCCUGCAAUUCUCGUCCUUCUGCAUUUGAAGUAGAGGACUGAGAUCCUUGUGUUGGGGUUGAAAAUUCAUUUUGUCUUCCAUUUUGCAUAACAGGUUCAUUCUCAAUUUGCACAUCAGCUUGUGCUUCUUCCAUUGUUAGUGGAAAUGAGAUGGUGUCAAUGUUGUUGGUUUCCCAAUUCCAUGCUUCAUUUUCCUUGAACACCAUAUCUCUUGAGAUAAUCACUUUAUGUGACCCCAUAUUGUAGAGCCUUUAGCCCUUUUCACAGCUUCCAUAACCUACAAGAACACACUUGAUACUAUUGAUUUCAAGCUUGUGUCUUAAUUGAGAUGGUAUUUGUGCAUAGCAGAUUGAUCUGAACACCUUCAAGUGCUUCACACUUGGUUUUCUGCCACUAAAUGCCUCAAAAGGUGUUUUCUUCUCAAGUGCUUUAGUUGGACACCUGUUUAGGAGAUACACAGAUGUAUUGACAGCUUCACCCCAAAAGGAAAGUGGCAUUUUCUUAUCAUGUAGCAUUGACUUGGUCAUUUCAACCACAAUCAUGUUCUUCCUCUUUGUUACACCAUUCUGUUGUGGUGUGUAGGCCACUGUUAGUUGCUUCUGUAAUCCUGCUCCUUCACAAAAUUCUUGGAACUCAAAUGAAGUGAACUCACCACCUCUGUCACUUCUUAGCCUUUUGAUCUUGAGACCACUCUGAAGUUCAACCAUCACCUUGAAUUUCUUAAAGAUUGAAAAGACUUCACUCUUGUUUCUCAUAAAGUAUACCCAAACCAUCCUGGUGCAGUCAUCAAUGAAUAACAGAAAGUAUUUAUUCCCACUAAGUGUAGGUGUCUUCAUUGGACCACACACAUCUGUGUGAAUGAGUUAUAGAGGCUGGCCUGCUCUCCAUGCAUUUCCAGUUUCAAAAGAGUCCCUAUGAUGCUUCCCCAAUAUGCAACCUUCACAUGGUUCUUUAGUAUCUUAUAACUCAAGAAGACCAGUCACCAUUUGUAAUUUCUCCAAUCUCUUUAAACUAUGAAAGUUUAGAUGUCCAAACCUUUUGUGCCAUAACCAAGAGUUUUCUGCAACACUUGCUUUUAGAGCAAUUAAGUCAUUGUAAUCUAGCAUAAGUGGAAAAUUGUUGUUCCCUGUCAUGCCAACUUAUGUUACCAAGUUUUGGAGGCUUUUGUCAUCAAAGAUCUCCACCAUAUUGUCUCCAAAAAGUAAGAAAUAACCAUGACCAAUCAUAUGUCCCACACUAAGGAGAUUCUCAUCUAGGCCAGGUACAAGUAUCAUAUCCUUGAUGAAUCUUCUUCCACCUUUUGUCUCUAGAACAAGAGUUCCUUUUCCAGUAGCUUCCACAAGUUGUCCAUUCCCCAUUUUUACUCUACAAUUGAAGCCUCUGUCAAUGUUGAUUAACAAGGAUUCAUAUGCAGUCAUAUGAUUACUGCAUCCACUGUCAAUAUACCAGAUUCCUUUCUUAUUUUCGGUUCUUGCAACACUACAAGUAUAAAAGACAUUUACUUCUUCUUCUUCUGCUCUAUGUGCAUAAUUGACAGCUUGGUUCCUUCUUGGAUUACAAUCUUUUGCUAGAUGGCCAAAUCUGUCACACUUGGUGCAUUUGGGUUUUCCCUUGAAUGAUACCAAGAGCUUUUGCAUCUCUGGUUUCAUUAACCUUCAUUGAUAUCUUCUUCACAAACUGUUAAUCUUCAUCGCUAGAAUCAUUAUCAGUUUCUGCGAUUUCAAAACCCCUGUCCACCAAAUUCCAUAGAUCAUGUGAUUUGAAUAUGGUCUUCAUCUUGAUGGACCAAAAAUCAUAGUUGGACCCAUUAAAGAUAGGAGCCCUCAGAUCUCCUCCACUGCUCGAGGUAGCCAUGUGAGACUUUGUAAGAACAGAUGAGGUUUUUCAAAAUCUGGGUUUGUUUUUCCCCUUUUCUUAGCACACAAAACGCCCAGUCUUGAAAUUGAUCAGAACCUAAGCUCUGAGGCCAUGAUAAAUUCUUGAGUGUUAAUUUGUAGUUGGUAUGAUGAUUUUCGAGGAUUGACAAGGGACAAGAAUUUGGAAUUUUUGAGGAAACUGUAGUGCUCUCUUUGUCUAGAGCAAGCACAGAUAUUUUCAUUGAAAUAUCAACACAUUGGACUUUUCUCUUACAAGCUACUCUAGAGCAAUAUCAGCCCUUGAUUAACAAACAGUAAUCUAAAGCAUACACUUGUCCUAUGAGACUAAGCAUGCACUUAACUGUUGGUUCCUUCCUUCUCAACCAUUCGAUCAAAACCAAAUUCUAUUUAAUUCCAACAAAAGCCGCAGCCACUCCAUGACAACAAGAUGCGUUCGAUCGGGUUAAGGAUUGUUAUGUGAAUGGAUUUAUUCCACUCUUAUAUAAACUCUAAAUUAUUAUUGUUUGAAUGUUUGAGGUUAAAACAAUAACUCACCAAGGCGCGCAUAAAGUAGCCUCGCUCUGGAAGACAAGUACAUGGAACAAAACCGGCCCAGAACAAGAAAAGAGCUCAAUAUAUAGGCCAAAAACAAUCAACCACUAUUCUGGAGAAGGGCCUUAUGUAUAGGAUAAAAGACGAUCCUCAAACUAAACUAUAGCCGACUGUAUAGUAAGUGCAAACUUGGCCAAGAUGAGCAACUCCAUUACGGUGAUCAGGGAUGUGGUUGAUGCCCGGGGUGGGAAAAAACCGCUAAACCAAAGCAAUCCAUUAUUCAUUUAGUUUUGAAGAUUUCCUUUUGUUAAAAAAUAGAAAAUAUUAUAUUAACAUUUCAAGGGGAAUUGUAAAUUACUAAUUAAACAAUAGUUAAAAGAAAAAUAGUGGUGGGUUAUCUGCUCUGGUGGUUGGAGCAUAACUUUAACCACUGCGUUUCGAGUUCAAAUCCAUCUAUUUCUCUCAUUGUAGAUAAUAUUAGAGAAGAUUGAGAAAGUUUUGUAGAGAAUUUGUCAAAUUCAAAGGAAUAUGAAUCUUUGUUCUUAGAAUUAAAUAUAACAACAUGUGAGAGAGAACUUAAUUAAUAACAAAUGGCGACAACAAAAAAGAAAAUGUCACGUGAAUAUAUAACACCAAGCAAAAUACCAAAUUGUGAAGUAUGAUUCUGUUCAUUUUGGUCCAAGCUUGGUUGCACUUUUGUCAAAGUAAAGAUCAAACUAAACUGCCCAAACUGGUUUGACGUGGUUGGUUUUUGAAUGAUUUGUUGAAUUUUGCCACCACUGCACAUUAAUUAUUCCCUAAACUCUAAAAUACUUAAGUUGAUAAAUAUUUAAUUAAAAAUAAACUAGAUUAGGUUUGUCGUUCUGCCAGGAGGUUAGGAACUAUGAAGAUUCCCAGGGCUCAAUGAAAUGAUUCCGAACUCAAGCAUCUGUGUCGUUAUUAGAUAUUUUGUUUUGGUGCAAUACUGAGUGUAUACAUUUGAUGACUGGGUAUAAUCUCUCUAGACCGUCACAAAAACAACGGUAGAUGCCACUACUCAACUUGUGAGAACCAAUAAAUUCAGGGUGUGCGGGGGAGUUCUAUCAGUUCUCACGUUUUCUCCCCAUUUCAAAAGAGAAUCAGUACUCUCUCUCUCUCUCUCUCUCUCUCUCUCUGAGCAAUGGCAUUCUCCUCAGUACUCUCUGCAGUCCCAAGAAGGUUAGCAGAACAUGCUUAAUCAAUCAAGGUUUUUUAGUUUUCAGUUUGUGCCUCUGUUCGUGUACCUUUUUCUAGUUAAUCAGUUUCUAACUUUCUAUGAUUAAUCAAGUUUUACUUUUUUCGCUAAUUAAACUUACGAACUGCAACCUCUCUUGAGUCUUGACUCAUCCUAGCUAUCUACCAAAUUAUCAAACAAAACUUUUCUCAUGAUAGAAUGAAGCUAGUUUCCUCAACAUGCUGAUUGCUGACCCAGCUUUGCAAAUGUGUACUCAAAAUAAAAUGGCUUCACAAAAAUACAAGUUCAUGGUGCCUAUCCUCUAAUGGAAAAUGAUUUCCAUCCUCUUAUUUUCUCCUAUUGCACAUCUUUAUUUGUUUAUCUCUCUUGAUUCUUCUUUGAUUUAUUCAAUCUAAUGACUAAAAAUAGAGAAGAGUAAUCAUUUCAUUUACUUAAUUUGUCCAAGCUAGAGAUUUAUGCGUAGACGCUAAUUAAGCCGGCUAAGGCAAAUCUUUGAUUCCUCCACUAUUUGGUUGACGAGCCACUGAGAACAUGAUUCAAUUUGGUCAUUGGAAACAAUCACUACAAGAAAAGUGAGCAACAACAGUCCUAAUUUAUUAGUAACCAUUUAGGUAACUUUUGUUGUUGAGGUAACAACGAUGUUCAAAGGAAAUAAAGGUGUAAAAAAUAAGAAAAAAAAGUAGGUAAUAGUUACGUCUCAAAGGCGGCAAACACAUUAAUUUUGUUUCGUCACUAUUUUCUCAUUGGCAACAUCGUUGUUACCCAAACAACAUCUACAAAAAGAGUUACUAAUUAGGGUAAGUUUUUACUCACUUUUCUUAUAGUGAAAGUGCUCAUUCCUCCUAAUUAUUGCAUCAUCUGUUUAUGUACAUUAUGAGAACACCGAUGUGUAUAUUAAUAAAUUAAUAAUAUGAUGCUUUGAAAGAACCUCAUUAGAUACAUGUAAUGCUGGAAGGAAGAUUCGAACUUGUGUGCACAUAAAAGAGAACGUUAUUCUAACUAGCCAACUUGUCUAAACUCAGGUCUGCUAAUGUAGUUCAUUAUUGAGAUUCCGCUAAAACCAGCUUUACGGAUAAGCAAAUGUGUUUCAUAACCUUGCAAUUUAUACAAAUUAUAAAAAAAUUAUGUGAUGACGAAAUGUAGAUCACCGUCAAUCUAAAACUCUGUAAAUUGCAAAUCCUACUGUUUAGAUAAUAUGCAUGUUGAAAUUUUCAGAAGUAAUUAUUAUUUUGUAACUGAAUGCAGGUUGGAGGGAAAGGUGGCUCUGAUAACCGGAGGAGCCAGCGGCAUUGGAGAAUGCACAGCCAAAAUCUUUGUCCAGCAUGGGGCCAAAGUCGUCAUUGCAGAUGUCCAAGAUGAUCUGGGCCAUUCAGUUCGCGAGUCCAUCGGGCCAUCGGACUGCACGUUCGUCCACUGUGAUGUCACAGACGAAUCCCAAAUAAAAGAUGCCGUACACAAAGCCGUUGCCACGUAUGGAAAACUAGACAUCAUGUUCAACAACGCAGGCAUAGUUGACCCAAACAAAGCCCGAAUCAUCGACAAUGAAAAGGCAGAUUUCGAGCGCGUGCUUAGCAUAAAUGUCACCGGAGUUUUCCUCGGCAUAAAGCAUGCUGCCCAAGCCAUGAUUCCUGCGCGGACGGGCAGCAUAAUUUCAACUGCUAGUAUAAGUUCAUAUGUUGGUGGUGCAGCCUCACAUGCAUAUUGUUGUUCCAAGCAUGCAGUUAAUGGCUUGACAAAAAAUGCAGCCGUUGAGUUAGGUCAGUUCGGGAUCCGAGUGAACUGCUUGUCGCCGUAUGCGCUCGCAACGCCGUUGGCUCGGACUUUUGUGGGGGUUGACGAUGAGGAGCUUGAGAAUGUGAUGGGAUCUCUAGCCAACUUGAAGGGCGUGACACUUAAGGCAGUGGAUGUGGCAAAUGCAGCUCUAUAUUUGGCAAGUGAUGAGGCUAGGUAUAUUAGUGGGCAUAAUCUCUUGAUAGAUGGGGGUUUCAGCAUCCUUAAUCCCUCUUUCAAAAUGUUUCAGUACCCUCAAGAGCCUUGAACUUUUUUGUUUUUGGUUCUUCAAAAAAGGGAUUAGUUGAUGACUUCGUCAUGGCAGUUUAUCCUCCAAAGCUUUGAUCCGUUCAGUUGCUAUAGAUUUUUUUUCUUUCUUUUUACACGUUUGAGUUGAAUUACUUUUAAUUGUUAUAAGUUUAUCCUUAAAAAAAAAAAAAAAAAGGUGGGGGGUUUUAAGUACCCCUAUCGGAGUAGAAAUAUUCGGGUCUUCCAAUAAGCAAUCUUGUAAUUGUGCGUUUUAGAAGGUUGUACAUCAUCUUCGUUUGCUACGAGUUUGAGUGAAGAAGAGUGAUGAAAGAGACUUCCACGUUCAAGUUAUUUUUUGAUAUCUAUGUACAUUUCCUAAUAUUUGAUUGUUAUUGUGAUCCCUAUAUUUUGAAGUUGAUUUUUUUUUUUUAACAAACGAUAUUAUCUACACUAAGGGGAAAGGGGUGAGCUUAACCUCACAAUAGGCUGACAUGUAAUAAUGUGGCUGAAAUUCACCUUUGGUGAGAAUCGAACCUAAAACAUCUCACUUACAAAUGAAGAGGAAUACUACUAGACUGUAGUAUUAAGUGGUUAAUCUUUAUAUUUUAUCCCAUCAACAAUUUUUGUCCCUUGUAACUACUUUGACAUUACUUUGUCGUGUUAGCAUAGUGUGUCAUUUGUAUACAUUAACCCAAAUUGAACUGAAAGAAUCAAAAUUGUUAAUACAUUAAAACACAGGAAUCAAAUUGACCAAAUUUAAAAUAUAGGAAUAAGAAAUCAAAUCAACCGUAUUAUCGUCACCAUCACAAUCACUAUUACUUUGUUGUGACCAUCACCAGUACCAUCAUCCCUACCAUCACCACUAUCUUGCCACCGUCAUUAGAAACAUAAUCACCACCACCGCCACCACCAUCUUCCCACUACCUACCUCUAAUACCGCCACCAAUAUUACACAUGAUGACCCACCACUAUUUAAAAAAAUUAAAACUUUGAAACUAGUGGAAAUGCCCAUUUUAGCAGCCGAUUAAAAAAAAUUGACAUCUAUGCAAAUCUAUUAAAAAUCAUAUUAAGUCUCACAAACUCUCUCAAAUUCCAUAUUAAGAUCCAAAUAAAAGUUACUCAAUGCCCGUGUAACCAUGCUUCUUGUGCAGUGUUUCUGGAGUGACAUGAAUCCAUCCUUUAACUUCACUAGGCUUGAUUGGCAUGGUUUUGGAUUAUGCCCCCAACAAUUGAGGUGAAGAUGUUGAAUUGAAUGAGCCAAAAGUGACGAUGGUAUAGUUUGAUUCCACCACAUCAUCAAGACCUAAGUCCAUGACUUCUUCUUGGGCCAACUUCAUGAUGAGAUCUUUCAACAUGAAGCACAUUUCAACCGAAUGACUGAUGACGCGGUGGUACUUACAUUAUCUUGGGUUGUCGGUGAUUCAUCUCUUUCGGCCGUUUGCACUCGGGUAAAUCGAUCAUUUUUUUGUCGAGCAAGUCCUCUAACAUGGAAACCACAUCGAAGUCGGGGAAUUGAUAAGUAUUCUCCUCAAGCUCCUUUAAAGCGCGUUUACGCCUCUCUUGGUCACAAAAAGCUUUGGUCCACUUCAUCUUGUCUCGUGUAGAGAUUUUAACGGGAGUUGUGUUGACCAACAUCGCUUCCUUGACAGGCUCCCUCACAGAUUUGUCCAUUUUUUGCCCAAAGAAUUUGUCUUUUCUGUAGUUAGCAAUCGGGUCUUUCUUCCCAUGAUGUGUGAUGCUUAACUCCAUGUCAUGGGUGCGAGUAGCUAACUCUUCGAAAGUCUAGGGCUUGAUACCUUAAAUAAUGUAAUGCAAGCCCUAAUGCAUGCCUUGUAAGCAUAUCUCAAUCAAGGAGAUUUUCGAGAGUCUGUCUUUGCAGUCGAGACUUAGAGUGCGCCAUCUAUUGAUGUAGUCAACGACUGGCUCGUCCUUCUAUUGCUUUGUACCUAUGAGCUCCAUCAUGCUGACGGUGCGACGUGUGUUGUAAAAGCAGUUUAAGAACUCUCGCUCCAAUUGUUCUUAAUUGUUAAUAGACUCGAGCUUUAGGUUAGUGUACCAAUUAAAAGCAUUCUCCUUUAGAGAACGGACAAACUGCUUUGCGAAGUAGUCUCCUUCAGUUCCUGCAUUGUUGCAAGUCUUGACAAAAUAGGCGACGUGCUACUUUGGGUUCCAUUUUCUAUCGAAUUGGAUGAACUUAGGUGGCUGGUACCCCAUUGACAUCCGUAAGUCAUCAAUCCGCCUGGUAUAUGGCUUCGAAUACAACAGUGUAUCCUGCGAAGUACCUCUUACAUGUGCUUUGAUGGUGUUCGCAAUCAUGCCUUGGAGCUGUUGGUAGGAAAAAUAGCCCAUCGAUAUAGCUUCAGUCUCUAGCUUUUGCUUGUUUCUGGCCUUGUUUGCAUGACGCUUAUCUUCCUUGCCAGACUCCUGGUCAUUUUAAUUUUUCCUUGGGUCUGGACCGACUAUUUCAUCAUGUUGCGCCUCCAACUUAUCCAUAAGCGUAACAAUCUGCAAGUUUUUUUCUUCGAUAGUUCUGGUCAACCUUACGAUCGUCUCAUUCAUCUAAGCCAGUUGUUCUUCAAUGGAGGUGGGGCUAGUGGCUAUGACUUGCGCAACCAAAGGAUGUGACUCUCAUCCACACAUCAAAUGUGAUGGCGAAGUCUCCGUGCGACGGUUACUGGUUGGUGAUCAGCGGUAGGCUCUCGUGCUUGAGUCUGCGUCUGAAGUUAGUAACAAUAAGUGCUCACAUGAACCUUCUGACACUAGCAAACCUUACUUGCCGCUCUGAGGUGUCUUCGUGUGUGCCACAAUAGCAUUCUUCGGUGGGCCCAACGAGGCAUAGCUAAUGUCGGGUUCGCACAUCUAACGCUCCCCUUGCUCCCUUAACGACACCAACUUUGAAGUGGCAUGUUGAAGAGUGGUAACCCGCCCUUGCCUUGCUUCGAGUUAUGAUGCCAAUAGAUUUUUCACUUGCGAUAGAAGUGUUGGCGCUUCUUCCCUUGGUUGCGAGAACGACUUUUCUUUUAUUUGAUGCCAUUGAGUUUGGAGUGUGCUUGGAUUUCUUGAAUUGAGAAAGAGAUGAGAGCUGGAGAUUAUCCCUUUGGGCGUGCCAAAUUUGUAAACAUGAAUAUCUUGUAGCAAAUGAAACAAGAACUCGUGUACAAAAUAAAUUUGAAUUAAUGUCAAUUUAGGGUUACAAUCUCUUUACAGCUUGAUUGUUUGAUUCGAUAUCCGAAAUGUAAGGUAUGUAGUGUUGUUGAUCAAAUGGUCACGAUGACUUGAUCUUGUAUAAAUAGAUGCCGCAAGGUUUUGGCUCUCGGCAAUGGAGUAACCUACACGUGUAUGGGUGCUUAGUGGUUCUUCACGGGUUUUAUGAAGAAUGCAGACAGCUUUCCGAGUCUUCUUGAAUGUUUGAGUGUUUGGGGGGUUUGAGUGGUUGAGAGCUUUAGAGUUUCAAAGCUUCAGCGUUUGGGCGUGAAUGAUUUUCUGAACCUUUUCCUUUGUCUUGGAGCCUCCUAUUUAUAAACUAUCUAAGUCUUGACUACAGAUGGAUUUGACCUUGAUUUGUGGCUUGGUUAAUUGACGAAAGAACUAGGACUCGAUUUAACUCCAUCAAUUAACAUUUGAUUUAAUUAAAUUAAAAUCAAAUCAUUCAUUUCCGCCAAGUGUUGACAUGUGUCAUUCUUGAUGACUCGUCCGAUUUUGUUGAGUCACACACCACAUGUGUACAAUUUUGUGCAAAACGUGGCGUAUACGACGUAUGCCCUGGCACGUCGAAGCUUUAAUGCAUUGGUGAACACUUAUUUCAUCGAAAUUUUGAUGUCUACAUAUAUAUAUAUAUAUAUUAAUUUCAGUAAAAAAGUAUUCUACAAUGAGAGAGAAAGUCAAUCCUUCCAUAUUCAUUGGUGAAGUCACCUACAAGACUCACGUGGGUUGUAGCCCAAGGAGGUUUUCUGUAAAGGUAGUGUUAUCCAUACACUCAUUUUUACUUCUCACACAUCCCUCUCAAUUUUCGGCUAUCUGAUCAAAUGAAUUGAAGAUGAUCAAUAAAAAAAUUUAAUAAGGGUCUGUAGGAGGUAAAAUGAGUGUGUGAAUAACACUAUUUAAUACAUGUCAUUAUUUAAUGUAUAUAAAGCAGAGGAUAGGUAAUAAAUAAUACGUUUUAUGCUAAAAUUAUAAAUUAGUUCCAUCUCUCGUCCCCCUUUAUCCUAUUCGUAAAAGAAAAAGAUCAUUUAUCCUACGUGAUUUAGCCUUUGUGCUUCUUAUUCAAGAAAAUAAAAAUAAUAUUUUUUUUAAAUCCACAAUUAGACCCCUAUCUCUGCAUUUUCUUACUUUCCUUUGCGAUUUUCUAAUGAAUGUCACAUUUGGUAUACUCUUAAUCUCUUUAUUUACUUAUUCUUGAUUUAAUUUGUAGGCAAACUAUUUAUAUGGUCUUUGAAUUUAUCAGUUAGGGUUAUGAUUUUGAGAAUAGUUUAUAUUAUGUGUUGUUCUUUUAUAUUGAUUAUUAUAUAAUUUUAUAUUAGCAAAUAUAAUUUUAUGAUAUUAAUUUCAGCUAGCCCACCCAAGCAAAAAAAAUCAUGGCUCCGCCUUUGCAUAUUCAUGCUUAGGGAUUUGGAUCCCACCCGGAUCUAAAUGUGAGGAUCCUAGGGAUUCUCACAUCUUAACUAUUCAUCGUGCGGAUAGAAAUCAUUUGAUUUUUUAUUAUUUAAAAUUAAACACAAAUAGUACCUAACGAAAAUUGACCGUAUGAUGUACAAUGAACAACUAGAAUGUGGGGAUCCUAGGGAUUCCCACAAAGUGAAUCCAGAGAGGAUCCUCCUCCCAUGCUUAGUACUUUCUCUAGUUAAUGCAUUAAUAUACAUAAUUACCAUAUUACCCAUUUUAUUAAUUGAAUAAUCAAAUUUGCUUUAUAAAGAGGGACAUGCUUGUCUUUUCACCAUCUGGUUGAUAAGAUUUCCUUGAUAGCAUUCUCUCACAAAUUAUCUAACUAGAGAAAGGUCAUGUUGAAAAGUUUAAAUUGGUACGGAAAGGUCUUGUUGAAGAGUUUAAAGUUGUCCUAAUUAGUUUGGAAUUGAAACUUUAAGUAAAUGUUGAUACUUAAUUAGCACUCAUAGUUAGAUUAGAAUUGUGUGUAAGUUUCCCACAUAUAAAUACUUAGUAUUCAUAUUUUUGUACUUCUCCGAUGCGAGACUCUAUGACAAUCAAAUAUUUACUCUUCUUGGCUAGCAAACUUUACUUCUGAUAGAAACGAAGCAAAUGUAUCUAGAGAAAAAUUGGCUUCACAUAAAUAUAGGAGUUUCGUUCGUGCCUAUUUCUUAAUGAAAAAGAAUUUCUACGCUCUUGUUUUCUGCUUUUGCAGUCCAUUUGUUUAUAUCCCUUAAUCUCCUUUGAUUGAAGUAAUGGAUAAAAGAAAAAGGGCAAAAAAAAAAAGGGAAAAGAUGAGCGCACAAGGAGGAAAAAAGCAGAAAUCAUUUCCUUCCUUAUUUGUUCAAGCUAGAGAUUUAUAUAUAGAAGCCGAGGCUUCUUAUUAAUUAGGCCAUGGCUACAUUUGAAAAAUCACUUGAGAACAUGAUUCAAUUUGGUCAUAGGAAACGACGGCGUUCAUUCAUCCUAAUAAUUGAAUAAUCUGCUACAUUAUGUGACAAUUGUGUGUAAAAUAAUAAUGAUGCGAAGAAGGAACUCCAUGAACUACAUAACACAAAGAUGUUUGAACUUGAACGCAUAAGAGGAGCAAAUUGUUCCAAUGAAGCCAAGAUUUACUAAUGCAUGCAGUUGAUGAAUGUGAUCUUGGGAACAAUAUCGGCAAUAUUGGUGGUGAAUCAGGUUAGGCUUAUAAAGCUUAUCAUAGUAAAUGCUAUUCUUUCUACACAUCUUGGACUUGAGUUACUGGGCUUGAAUCUGCUUCCUUAAAUUGGGUUUUUGAAAAGUUUCACUAUCUCCAGCUUAAAGUAUUGGUUGAACGAUUGGGUAUUCCAAAAGAUUGACAUUGGCUCCAAUGACUAGGGCUGGGUUCGGUUUUUUGCCAAAACCGAAACCAAACCGAAAUUUCGGUUCGGUUCGGUUCGGCCCAAAUUUUUUUCGGUUUUUUUUCGGUUCGGUUUCGGUUUUUUUCGGUUUUUUUUUUUUUUUUUUUCCUCCAAAAAAUGCAAAACAACCACAACAUUACUUGAGUUAUAUGCCAAGCAUCCAUUUCUUUAUUUGGUUCACAGUGCCUAGUAUUUGGGUCAUUGUUCAAAGUAGCCUUUCCUUUAUGGAAAACAAAUACAAAGCCAUUUCCAUGCAAACAAAUCCCAUGAAAUGGAUUUUAAUUAUAAAACAGAUUAGACUUUAGAACCAACUAAAUUGUAAAUUGUGGUUUAUGAAAACAAUGAAAUUAAAGAAGCUCAACUCCCUACAUGAUACAAUAUUACAAUUACAAUCACACACCUUUUCUUGUUGGAUUUGUGACCAAGUGGACAACAAGCCAAAAUACCUUUCGGCUAAUAAAAUAGAAAAAAGGAAAAGGGAGACAUCAUUAUGAUGUCUAGCCCUUGAUUUGUGGCUUUUACAAAAGCAAAGAAAGGUGGCCUUUUGUUUAUAUUAAGGCAUUUGGUUAUGCAUUUGGAAAAGAGAGAGUGGGAACGGCAGAUUAGAGAGAAGAAAGAGAAGGGUUGCUGUUAUCUAUCCUUCCCAUUUUGUUUGUAAUCCCCUUUUGUUAGUAAUCACUCAAUCAAAGAUAUUUGUGCUACAUUUUGUGGCUUUUGGGAGAGAAGGAAUUUGGUAUAUGUUUCAUCUUCUCCAUUUGUUCUUUGUGAGAGUGAGAGUUAUUGGGUGUAUGUGAGAUUUGGGUUUGAGAGUUAAAACUCUAUUUGUAAUCUCCUUUUGAUAUUAGUGGAAUUUCCUCGCCGUCUCGGAACUGGACGUAGGCUUACGCCGAACCAGUAUAAAUCCUUGUGUCUUUUGGAUUAUUUGUCUUGUCAUAUUUUGCCGUUGUAGUUUAUUGGUUUCAUAUUUGACGCUUCCGCACAACA
Molecule: long non-coding RNA, 22240 nt
Filed under: Malus domestica (apple)
Lineage: Eukaryota; Viridiplantae; Streptophyta; Magnoliopsida; Rosales; Rosaceae
Description: long non-coding RNA (MDOM_LNC013666)
Source: RNAcentral